AACGAACGCUGGCGGCAGGCUUAACACAUGCAAGUCGAGCGCCCCGCAAGGGGAGCGGCAGACGGGUGAGUAACGCGUGGGAACGUACCUUUUGGUUCGGAACAACUCCGGGAAACUGGAGCUAAUACCGGAUAAGCCCUAACGGGGAAAGAUUUAUCGCCGAAAGAUCGGCCCGCGUCUGAUUAGCUAGUUGGUGAGGUAACGGCUCACCAAGGCGACGAUCAGUAGCUGGUCUGAGAGGAUGAUCAGCCACACUGGGACUGAGACACGGCCCAGACUCCUACGGGAGGCAGCAGUGGGGAGUAUUGGACAAUGGGCGCAAGCCUGAUCCAGCCAUGCCGCGUGAGUGAUGAAGGCCUUAGGGUUGUAAAGCUCUUUUGUCCGGGAAGAUAAUGACUGUACCGGAAGAAUAAGCCCCGGCUAACUUCGUG
RNAcentral lists this ribosomal RNA (431 nucleotides) under uncultured bacterium. RNAcentral describes it as "partial 16S ribosomal RNA". It matches the Rfam family "Bacterial small subunit ribosomal RNA", at positions 29 to 507 of the family's 1533-position model. The record is from RNAcentral.